RNAcentral lists this ribosomal RNA (1022 nucleotides) under Thermotoga sp. enrichment culture. RNAcentral's name for it is "bacterial SSU rRNA". It matches the Rfam family "Bacterial small subunit ribosomal RNA", at positions 356 to 1381 of the family's 1533-position model. The record is from RNAcentral. Lineage: Bacteria; Thermotogati; Thermotogota; Thermotogae; Thermotogales; Thermotogaceae.
UGCGAUUUGACAAUGGCGAAGCUGAUCCAGCGACGCGCGUGAGGACGAGCUCGGGUGUAAACUCUGUGUGAGGACGAUAGAUCUGGAGGAAAUGCCAGAUCGAUGACGUACCUCACGAGAAAGCCCAGGCUAACUACGUGCCAGCAGCCGCGGUAAUACGUAGGGGGCGAGCGUUACCUGGAUUCACUGGGCGUAAAGGGGGCGCAGGCGAUCCAGUAUGUCGGGUGUGAAAUCCCACAGCUCAACUGUGGAAUUGCGCCCGAAACUACUGGGUUUGGGGCUGGUAGAGGGAGACGGAACUGCUGGUGUAGGGGUGACAUCCGUAGAUAUCAGCAGGAACGCCGGUGGAGAAGCCGGUCUCCUGGGCCAAGCCCGACGCUGAGGCCCGAAAGCUAGGGGAGCAAACCGGAUUAGAUACCCGGGUAGUCCUAGCCGUAAACGAUGCCCACUAGGUGUGGGGGAGUCAUUCCUCCGUGCUGUAGCUAACGCGUUAAGUGGGCCGCCUGGGGAGUACGCCCGCAAGGGUGAAACUCAAAGGAAUUGGCGGGACCCCGCACAAGCGGUGGAGCGUGUGGUUUAAUUGGAUGUUAAGCCAAGAACCUUACCAGGGCUUGACAUGCAGGUGGUACCAACCCGAAAGGGAAGGGACCCUUUCCUUUUGGAAAGGGAGCCUGCACAGGUGGUGCACGGCCGUCGUCAGCUCGUGCCGUGAGGUGUUGGGUUAAGUCCCGCAACGAGCGCAACCCCUGCCCUUAGUUGCCAGCGGUUCGGCCGGGCACUCUAAGGGGACCGCCGGCGACGAGCCGGAGGAAGGAGGGGACGACGUCAGGUACUCGUGCCCUUUAUGCCCUGGGCUACACACGCGCUACAAUGGGUGGUACAGUGGGUCGCGACCUCGCGAGAGGGAGCCAAUCCCCAAAACCAUCCUCAGUUCAGAUCGCAGGCUGCAACCCGCCUGCGUGAAGCCGGAAUCGCUAGUAAUCGCGGAUCAGCCAUGCCGCGGUGAAUACGUUCCCGGGGUU